CACCAUUUUAUUACUUCGGGUAGUACGCUGCAAACACAUGAUUAUGGCUGGCCAGGUAGAAAGCUAUACCCUGAGCUUCUGACAGGCUAAGAACUCUAUCUGAUGCAUCCAGAUGCUAUUAUUCUAUCCCAUCCCUCUGGUUCAUCUGCCUCCUUUGCACAUUCCCAGAUGAAGCUCUCAACCUAACAGGUUUGUCUGGGAGUGGACGAGUGGCUGGGACCAUCAGACAUUACUUUGCCAUGAAGAUGGAAGAAGAAUCAUAACAGAGGAGAUUCCUACUGUAUCAAGUGUCAGAAAAGGACAUCGCCUUCCCUCUAAUGGGAAAGAGAGAAGACAGAAUGAAGUUCAGCCAACUACUUCCUCAUCUGUUCUUGCAGUAGGGUCCCAUCAUUAGGCAAAUUGCGUGAAAAAUGCAUCUACUGUUCUGGAACUGGAAACUGUGAUGAAAGCAUUGUGGGAGGCAAUGAGAAGACUAACUAACUGCUGUGUCUGCCUUCUUUCUACAUGGUUUAUUGCUUCCUAAGCAGAUUGUUAUACCUCUUAUCUUCUGCAGUGCACCGGCAUUAAAGCAAAAGACAGUCCUGCUCUAAGAAGCUGAAUAGAGAAGGGUAGCUUUGUUCUGCAGAAGACUGUGAUAUUUCAGAAUGUGGUUUCUUUCUGUCUGGAAAAAAACUUCUCUUUAGAAAAAGGGCAUGACUACAGCUCCUAAGAUCUGCAUGAGGUGGACUGCCCUAGAAUCAUGAGCCAAGAGAGUCCCCACCCAGCGGGCUACCCCAUAGAUGAGGACGCAGCCAUCAGGGAAGAAUGUGCUUGGACACCCUUGAGAGCCACGGCUUGCAGCACUUCCCAGAUCUCUGCCAAGGAACCAGGUCAGCAAAUAGUCAGGAAGCUGGGUAGAGUUCUCGUUAAAACACUAAGUUUUGAUGACUCAGCAAACGCUCAAUUAAAAACAUAUCAGAAUUUUUCCAACCAGCCC
Gallus gallus (chicken) is the source of this 976-nucleotide long non-coding RNA. Lineage: Eukaryota; Metazoa; Chordata; Aves; Galliformes; Phasianidae. The record is from Ensembl.